GACGAACCGUGCGAACGUUAUUCGGAAUCACUGGGCUUAAAGCGCGCGUAGGCGGCUUGGCAAGUCGGAUGUGAAAUCCCCCGGGCUUAACCUGGGAACUGCAUUCGAGACUGCUUUGCUAGAGUAUGGGAGAGGGAGGUGGAAUUUCCGGUGUAGCGGUGAAAUGCGUAGAUAUCGGAAGGAACAUCAGUGGCGAAAGCGACCUCCUGGACCAAUACUGACGCUCAUGUGCGAAAGCGUGGGGAGCAAACAGG
This 254-nucleotide ribosomal RNA is filed under the name uncultured bacterium. Its description in RNAcentral is "partial 16S ribosomal RNA". It matches the Rfam family "Bacterial small subunit ribosomal RNA", at positions 524 to 776 of the family's 1533-position model. The record is from RNAcentral.